CGGCAGCUUACCAUGCAAGUCGAACGAUGACGGUGGUGCUUGCACUACCUGAUUAGUGGCGAACGGGUGAGUAACACGUGAGUAACCUGCCCCUCACUUCGGGAUAACCUCGGGAAAUCGUGGCUAAUACCGGAUAUGAACUUCUACCGCAUGGUGGUUGUUGGAAAGAUUUAUCGGUGGGGGAUGGACUCGCGGCCUAUCAGCUUGUUGGUGAGGUAAUGGCUCACCAAGGCGAUGACGGGUAGCCGGCCUGAGAGGGCGACCGGCCACACUGGGACUGAGACACGGCCCAGACUCCUACGGGAGGCAGCAGUGGGGAAUAUUGCACAAUGGGCGAAAGCCUGAUGCAGCGACGCCGCGUGGGGGAUGACGGCCUUCGGGUUGUAAACCCCUUUCAGUAGGGAAGAAGCGAAAGUGACGGUACCUGCAGAAGAAGCGCCGGCUAACUACGUGCCAGCAGCCGCGGUAAUACGUAGGGCGCAAGCGUUGUCCGGAAUUAUUGGGCGUAAAGAGCUCGUAGGUGGCUUGUCGCGUCUGCCGUGAAAACCCGAGGCUCAACCUCGGACGUGCGGUGGGUACGGGCAGGCUAGAGUGUGGUAGGGGAGACUGGAACUCCUGGUGUAGCGGUGAAAUGCGCAGAUAUCACGAAGAACACCGAUGGCGAAGGCAGGUCUCUGGGCCAUUACUGACACUGAGGAGCGAAAGCAUGGGUAGCGAACAGGAUUAGAUACCCUGGUAGUCCAUGCCGUAAACGUUGGGCACUAGUGUGGGGGACAUUCCACGUUUUCCGCGCGUAGCUAACGCAUUAAGUGCCCCGCCUGGGGAGUACGGCCGCAAGGCUAAAACUCAAAGGAAUUGACGGGGGCCCCGCCA
Molecule: ribosomal RNA, 873 nt
Filed under: Brachybacterium sp. 5-1
Lineage: Bacteria; Bacillati; Actinomycetota; Actinomycetes; Micrococcales; Dermabacteraceae
Description: bacterial SSU rRNA
Rfam family: Bacterial small subunit ribosomal RNA
Source: RNAcentral